ACGGAGGGUGCAAGCGUUGUUCGGAAUAACUGGGCGUAAAGGGCGCGUAGGCGGUUUGAUAAGUCAGAUGUGAAAGCCCACGGCUUAACCGUGGAAGGGCAUUUGAAACUGUCAGACUUGAGUACCGGAGGGGAAAGUGGAAUUCCCGGUGUAGAGGUGAAAUUCGUAGAUAUCGGGAGGAAUACCGAUGGCGAAGGCAGCUUUUUGGUUGGUUACUGACGCUGAGACGCGAAAGCGUGGGGAGCAAACAG
RNAcentral lists this ribosomal RNA (251 nucleotides) under uncultured prokaryote. RNAcentral's name for it is "partial 16S rRNA". It matches the Rfam family "Bacterial small subunit ribosomal RNA", at positions 525 to 775 of the family's 1533-position model. The record is from RNAcentral.